RNAcentral lists this ribosomal RNA (440 nucleotides) under uncultured bacterium. RNAcentral's name for it is "partial 16S ribosomal RNA". It matches the Rfam family "Bacterial small subunit ribosomal RNA", at positions 338 to 795 of the family's 1533-position model. The record is from RNAcentral.
CCUACGGGUGGCAGCAGUGGGGGAUAUUGCACAAUGGGGGGAACCCUGAUGCAGCGACGCCGCGUGGGUGAAGAAGCGCCUCGGCGCGUAAAGCCCUGUCAGCAGGGAAGAAAAUGACGGUACCUGAAGAAGAAGCCCCGGCUAACUACGUGCCAGCAGCCGCGGUAAUACGUAGGGGGCCAGCGUUAUCCGGAUUUACUGGGGGGAAAGGGGGCGCAGACGGCGAUGCAAGCUAGGUGUGAAAGCCCGGGGCCCAACCCCGGGACUGCCCUUGGAACUGCGUGGCGGGAGGGGAGGAGGGGCAGGCGGAAUGCGUGGUGUAGCGGUGAAAUGCGUAGAUAUCAGGAGGAACACCGGUGGCGAAGGCGGCCUGCUGGACUGCAACUGACGUUGAGGCCCGAAAGCGUGGGGAGCAAACAGGAUUAGAUACCCGUGUAGUC